RNAcentral lists this transfer RNA (94 nucleotides) under Burkholderia lata. Its description in RNAcentral is "tRNA-Cys". The record is from RNAcentral. Lineage: Bacteria; Pseudomonadati; Pseudomonadota; Betaproteobacteria; Burkholderiales; Burkholderiaceae.
GCGCGGUGGCGGUCGCCGGCGACAGCGCAGGCGGCAAUCUUGCGGCGGUCGCCGCGCUGCAGUUGCGCGGUUCGGGCAUCGCGAUCGCGCACCA